Molecule: ribosomal RNA, 655 nt
Filed under: Selenomonas sp. G26
Lineage: Bacteria; Bacillati; Bacillota; Negativicutes; Selenomonadales; Selenomonadaceae
Description: bacterial SSU rRNA
Rfam family: Bacterial small subunit ribosomal RNA
Source: RNAcentral
GAGUGGCAAACGGGUGAGUAACGCGUAGACAACCUGCCGCAAAGAUGGGGACAACAGUCCGAAAGGACUGCUAAUACCGAAUGUUGUCAGAUUCCCGCAUGGGAGACUGAUUAAAGAUGGCCUCUACUUGUAAGCUAUCGCUUUGCGAUGGGUCUGCGUCUGAUUAGCUGGUUGGUGGGGUAACGGCCUACCAAGGCGACGAUCAGUAGCCGGUCUGAGAGGAUGAACGGCCACAUUGGAACUGAGACACGGUCCAGACUCCUACGGGAGGCAGCAGUGGGGAAUCUUCCGCAAUGGGCGAAAGCCUGACGGAGCAACGCCGCGUGAGUGAAGAAGGGUUUCGGCUCGUAAAGCUCUGUUGACGGGGACGAAUGUGCGAAAUGCGAAUAGUUUUUCGCAAUGACGGUACCCGUCGAGGAAGCCACGGCUAACUACGUGCCAGCAGCCGCGGUAAUACGUAGGUGGCGAGCGUUGUCCGGAAUUAUUGGGCGUAAAGGGAGCGCAGGCGGGAAGGCAAGUCAGUCUUAAAAGUGCGGGGCUCAACCCCGUGAUGGGAUUGAAACUGUCUUUCUUGAGUGCAGGAGAGGAAAGCGGAAUUCCUAGUGUAGCGGUGAAAUGCGUAGAUAUUAGGAGGAACACCAGUGGCGAAGGCGGC